Molecule: long non-coding RNA, 297 nt
Filed under: Lathyrus oleraceus (garden pea)
Lineage: Eukaryota; Viridiplantae; Streptophyta; Magnoliopsida; Fabales; Fabaceae
Description: Pisum sativum (pea) long non-coding RNA (PSAT_LNC006040)
Source: RNAcentral
CGCUCAGGAGCCAUUGAUGUGCCAGCUCAAUUAAUGAGCUUCAUCCAACGCUCCAUGUUUCUUUUUUCCAUUUUAAUUUCUGAUUUCAUUUUUCUUUUUAUUGGGUUUGGAAGGCGCGCGCUCAGGAGCCAUUGAUGUGCCAGCUCAAUUAAUGAGCUUCAUCCAACGCUCCAUGUUUCUUUUUUCCAUUUUAAUUUCUGAUUUCAUUUUUCUUUUUAUUUCUUUAAUUCCAUUUUAUUUCCAAAAAUCAUAUCUCCUUCAUUAUUGGUCCAAAAAAUGUGAGACCAAUUGCAUUCU